This 253-nucleotide ribosomal RNA is filed under the name uncultured bacterium. RNAcentral describes it as "partial 16S ribosomal RNA". It matches the Rfam family "Bacterial small subunit ribosomal RNA", at positions 524 to 776 of the family's 1533-position model. The record is from RNAcentral.
UACGAAGGGUGCAAGCGUUACUCGGAAUUACUGGGCGUAAAGCGUGCGUAGGUGGUUCGUUAAGUCUGUCGUGAAAUCCCCCGGCUCAACUGGGGAACUGCGCGGGAAACUGCGGGGCUUGAGUUCGGGAGAGGGAAGCGGAAUUCCGGGUGUAGCGGUGAAAUGCGUAGAUAUCCGGAGGAACACCGGUGGCGAAGGCGGCUUCCUGGACCGACACUGACGCUGAGGCGCGAAAGCUAGGGGAGCAAACGGG